Molecule: ribosomal RNA, 305 nt
Filed under: uncultured bacterium
Lineage: Bacteria
Description: bacterial SSU rRNA
Rfam family: Bacterial small subunit ribosomal RNA
Source: RNAcentral
GGCCCUACGGGAGGCAGCAGUGAGGAAUAUUGGUCAAUGGGCGGGAGCCUGAACCAGCCAAGUCGCGUGAGGGAAGAAGGUACUGAGUAUUGUAAACCUCUUUUGCCAGGGGACAAAGGCGGCCACGGGUGGCCGUAAGAGGGUACCUGGAGAAAAAGCAUCGGCUAACUCCGUGCCAGCAGCCGCGGUAAUACGGAGGAUGCGAGCGUUAUCCGGAUUUAUUGGGUUUAAAGGGUGCGCAGGCGGAUUUUUAAGUCAGCGGUCAAAUCGUGGGGCUCAACCCCAUCCAGCCGUUGAAACUGGGG